RNAcentral lists this long non-coding RNA (1802 nucleotides) under Homo sapiens (human). Its description in RNAcentral is "non-protein coding lnc-KCNE1B-5:6". Lineage: Eukaryota; Metazoa; Chordata; Mammalia; Primates; Hominidae. The record is from RNAcentral.
AAAUAAUACAAAAUAAAAAUAUUUUUUAUUAUUUAGUACACACUAUUUGUAUUAUUUAGUACCACACUUUUUGCAAACCGUGAGCAUACAUCCAAGCUUCCCUAAAUAUACACACACUCGAGGUUGUGUUUAUAAGAGCUUUAUGGUUGCAAGUUUUGUGAAUAAUCUUUAAUCCUUUUGAGUUAAAGUGUUUUUUUUGGUACCACAAGAGUCCUGUAUUAUUUAGUACCACAAGAGUCCUGUAUUAUUCUUUUGCAUAUGGAUAUCUAGUUUUGGAAACCUUCCCCAUUGUGUUGUUUUGGUGGUGUUUUGAAAAAUGUGUUCACUCUGUGUAAAUUUGUGUUUAUUAUUGAGCGCUCUCAUUUUGCUCACUGGUCUGUGUUUCUCUGUGUAUGCCAGUAACAUAUGGAUUGGUUAACUAGGGAUUUUCGUUUAAUUCGAACUCAGGGAAUGUGAUGCAGCCCAUAUGGUUUGUAUUUCUCAGGAUUGCUUUAGAAAUUCAGGGUGUUUCGUAUUUCCACAUAAAUUUUGGCAUUGUUUCUUUGUAUUUCUUAAAACACUAUUUGCCAUACACUAAGUGUAUAUAAGUAGAGGGUACAAGGAAGAUUUCGAUACAUGUAUAUGUUGAGUAAUGAAAAAAUCAAGUUAUUUAGCAUCUCUUCACCUCAUAGUUACUACUUUUUGAGUGGUAACAACAUUCAGAAUCUUUCCUUCUAGCUACUUUGAAAUAUAUGAUACAUUUGUAUUAAGGCUAGUCACCCUGCUGUAGAAUAGAAGACCAGAAUUGAUUACUGUCAUCUAAGAGUAACUUUGUACCCAUUACUGAUUCCUUCCCCGACCCUCUCCACCUCCCCAGCAGCCUCUGGUAAUCCCUAUUGAACUUUCUACUUCUAGGAGAUAAAGCUUUUUUCAGUCUACAUGUCUGAGAUCACGUGGCAUGGGACUUUCUCUGCCAGGCUCAUUUGUUGGACCUGAUGUUCUCCAGGUUUCUUCAUGUGGCUGCAGAUGGCAGGAUUUCCCAAAGCUUUAUGGCUGAAACAUAUUCCGUGGUGUAUCUGUAUGGCAGUUUCUUCAUCCCUGAAGCUGUGUACGGACAGCUUGGAAGCUGUCACUCCUGUCCUCACAACGACAACAAAAAACACCUUGAACAAACUGAAAAUUACAACUUUUCUUAGAUCCAUCAGAGACUUGAGGUUAACAGGGAAAACCGUUAUCCCCCAAAUUGGAGAGGCAGUGAGUCCCAGCCUAACAGGAUCGGAGGCUGGCCACUGGAGCCAGAACCACGGUGGGAAGACUUACAUGUAAACAACAAAUCGCUGGAGGCUCCAUGCACAUAAACUUGAGAAUUAAGAAUUAAGGGAGCCCAGUCUUAGGGGGCCCUACACUUUCAUGAACCUCCAAGAGCUCUGCCAGACGCUCUUAUGCACAUCAGAGAAAAAUUCCCUCCUGCUUCCCACAGGGAAGGGGAAAAGUAACUACUUUGAAAUAUGCCCUGGGUGUUCCGUUCUCCUUAGCAAAAGCCUGCCCCAGGGAAACCAUUUCACAAGAGUCUAACCACCUUGGGCUUUAGCAGGGCCUAACACCUGUUAGAAUAAGAAUAAAAAUUGCAUCAAACUUUUCUUCAGAACCCAUGCAAGCAAGCAAAAAAAUUCCACCAAACUAAAAUUCUGUAUCCUGCAAAAUUAUCUUUCCAAAGUGAAGAAAAAGACUUUCUCAGAGAAACACAAAUUUGCUGUCAGUAGAUCUGUCAAAAUGUUAAAAGAAGUUAUCCAGAGAGAAGAAAAUGAUAUAGGCUAAAAACU